RNAcentral lists this ribosomal RNA (497 nucleotides) under uncultured bacterium. Its description in RNAcentral is "partial 16S ribosomal RNA". It matches the Rfam family "Bacterial small subunit ribosomal RNA", at positions 28 to 507 of the family's 1533-position model. The record is from RNAcentral.
GAUGAACGCUGGCGGCGUGCCUAAUACAUGCAAGUCGAGCGAACAGACGAGGAGCUUGUUCCACUGACGUUAGCGGCGGACGGGUGAGUAACACGUGGAUAACCUACCUUUAAGACUGGGAUAACUUCGGGAAACCGAAGCUAAUACCGGAUAAUAUCUUUAACCGCAUGGUUCAAUAGUGAAAGACGGUUUUGCUGUCACUUAUAGAUAGAUCCGCGUCGCAUUAGCUAGUUGGUAAGGUAACGGCCUACAAAGGCAACGAUGCGUGGCCGACCUGAGAGGGUGAUCGCCCACACUGGAACUGAGACACGCUCCAGACUCCUACGGGAGGCAGCAUUAGGGAAUCUUCCGCAAUGGGGGAAGGCCGGACGGAGCAACGCCGCGUGGGGGAGGAAGGUCUUCGGAUCGUAAAACCUGGUUAUUAGGGAAGAACAAAUGUGUAAUUAACUAUGCACGUCGUGACGGUACCUAAUCAGAAAGCCACGGCUAACUACGUG